GAUGAACGCUGGCGGCGUGCCUAAUACAUGCAAGUAGAACGCUGAAGCUUGGUGCUUGCACCGAGCGGAUGAGUUGCGAACGGGUGAGUAACGCGUAGGUAACCUGCCUGGUAGCGGGGGAUAACUAUUGGAAACGAUAGCUAAUACCGCAUAACAGUAGAURUUGCAUGAYAUCURCUUGAAAGGKGCAAUUGCWYCACUACCAGAUGGACCUGCGUUGUAUUAGCUAGUUGGUGAGGUAACGGCUCACCAAGGCGACGAUACAUAGCCGACCUGAGAGGGUGAUCGGCCACACUGGGACUGAGACACGGCCCAGACUCCUACGGGAGGCAGCAGUAGGGAAUCUUCGGCAAUGGRSGGAAGYCUGACCGAGCAACGCCGCGUGAGUGAAGAAGGUUUUCGGAUCGUAAAGCUCUGUUGUAAGAGAAGAACGAGUGUGAGAGUGGAAARUUCACACUGUGACGGUAUCUUACCAGAAAGGGACGGCUAACUAC
RNAcentral lists this ribosomal RNA (494 nucleotides) under Streptococcus sp. 'ARUP UnID 622'. RNAcentral describes it as "partial 16S ribosomal RNA". It matches the Rfam family "Bacterial small subunit ribosomal RNA", at positions 28 to 504 of the family's 1533-position model. Lineage: Bacteria; Bacillati; Bacillota; Bacilli; Lactobacillales; Streptococcaceae. The record is from RNAcentral.